RNAcentral lists this unclassified non-coding RNA (332 nucleotides) under soil metagenome. Its description in RNAcentral is "partial contains 5.8S ribosomal RNA, internal transcribed spacer 2, and large subunit ribosomal RNA". The stretch from base 1 to 120 matches the Rfam family "5.8S ribosomal RNA", at positions 35 to 154 of the family's 154-position model. The record is from RNAcentral.
GAUGAAGAACGCAGCGAAAUGCGAUAAGUAAUGUGAAUUGCAGAAUUUAGUGAAUCAUCGAAUCUUUGAACGCACAUUGCGCCCGCUAGUAUUCUGGCGGGCAUGCCUGUUCGAGCGUCAUUUCAACCAUCAAGCCCUAGGCUUGCGUUGGAGCCCUGCGGCUGCCGCAGGCUCCCAAAUCCAGUGGCGGGCUCGUCGUCGUACCGAGUGCAGUAAACAUCCUCGCUCAGGGAACGUGACGGGUUCUUGCCGUGAAACCCCCCACAUAUCAAGGUUGACCUCGGAUCAGGUAGGAAUACCCGCUGAACUUAAGCAUAUCAAUAAGCGGAGGA